Molecule: ribosomal RNA, 111 nt
Filed under: Convolvulus glomeratus
Lineage: Eukaryota; Viridiplantae; Streptophyta; Magnoliopsida; Solanales; Convolvulaceae
Description: partial 5.8S ribosomal RNA
Rfam family: 5.8S ribosomal RNA
About the family: 5.8S ribosomal RNA (5.8S rRNA) is a component of the large subunit of the eukaryotic ribosome.
Source: RNAcentral
GCGAAAUGCGAUACUUGGUGUGAAUUGCAGAAUCCCGUGAACCAUCGAGUCUUUGAACGCAAGUUGCGCCCGAAGCUAUCAAGCUGAGGGCACGUCUGCCUGGGMGUCACA